Schizosaccharomyces pombe (fission yeast) is the source of this 675-nucleotide non-coding RNA. The record is from the annotation of a GenBank genome assembly. NCBI's taxonomy places the organism in Eukaryota, Fungi, Ascomycota, Schizosaccharomycetes, Schizosaccharomycetales, Schizosaccharomycetaceae.
UCCAGUUCCAGCACUACCCCAUAAAAUCAUGGAAUUGCACCUAUCUUGUUCAAUCAGAUUACGAAUGAUGCCUCGCUCACCAACCAGCUCUUCCUGACCAACAUAUUCAUCUAGUGAUUUGGGUCUUGCUCGUUCCGCCAGUGGUCGUGUAUCCCGUCUUGUAAGUUUAGUUUUCUUUGUAGGGCUGGGUUCAGGCUCUAUAAAUUUUGUAGCGCUCUGGUGAGAUGAGACAUUUGUUUCUAAAUGAUGUUUAUAGCGUUCCUUUUUAAAAAAGGGUGAAACAGGUUUCGAAGGGCCUGAUGAGUCCGAAUAAUGUGAAUCAAGGUGUGGAUUAAUGUCAUUCAUCGUAACUGUUUUCGCGCAAACAGGACAUUGAACAUGAUCUGGUCCUGACAUUCUGAUUUACAUAGAUAAAAGUAUGUGGUACGAAAGGUAAACAGAUAAAUCUGGAAUGAAACAAUAACACAUACAAAUGAGCGACCUUUGGCAAGAAAGUUUACAAAAAAAAGUAACGUUUAAGGAAUUUUGAUCAUCAAAAUUGCUUGUUGUUUAUGACACUCUCAACAGCAAUAUAACAGAGCUGAACGGCAUCGAUUGUACAAAACCGUGAACCAAGUCGUCGCGUGUAGUUAGGGAAUUAUACGAUGAAGUAAGAGGUUAUAAUAAUAUCAAAGU